GACGAACGCUGGCGGCGUGCUUAACACAUGCAAGUCGAACGGAAAGGCCCUGCUUUUGUGGGGUGCUCGAGUGGCGAACGGGUGAGUAACACGUGAGUAACCUGCCCUUGACUUUGGGAUAACUUCAGGAAACUGGGGCUAAUACCGGAUAGGAGCUCCUGCUGCAUGGUGGGGGUUGGAAAGUUUCGGCGGUUGGGGAUGGACUCGCGGCUUAUCAGCUUGUUGGUGGGGUAGUGGCUUACCAAGGCUUUGACGGGUAGCCGGCCUGAGAGGGUGACCGGCCACAUUGGGACGGGGAUAAGGCCCAGACUCCUACGGGAGGCAGCAGUGGGGAAUAUUGCACAAUGGGCGGAAGCCUAAUGCAGCAACGCCGCGUGGGGGAUGACGGCCUUCGGUUUGGAAACCGCUUUCGCCUGUGACGAAGCGUGAGUGACGGUAAUGGGUAAAGAAGCACCGGCUAACUACGUG
RNAcentral lists this ribosomal RNA (468 nucleotides) under uncultured bacterium. RNAcentral's name for it is "partial 16S ribosomal RNA". It matches the Rfam family "Bacterial small subunit ribosomal RNA", at positions 28 to 507 of the family's 1533-position model. The record is from RNAcentral.